UUCAGAUCAUGUUUUACUAGAACCUCACAUUUUCCAGGAGGCUUCCCAGUCACAAAAAUGCACUAGGAGCGAGACAAUCUUCAAAGCCUGCGCUCAGCUCACUGCGCUCUGUCAUGGGGAAACUUGGUUUGGAGCUUGAUUAGUUUGAAUUGAAUUUCUCCAUCCCAAACACGUUCCGCUUUUUCGAGACGGACGCCCAGAAAGCAUCUGCAGCAUGUGGCGAGCACAAGGAGUCUGCUGGCGGGGACGUCACAUGGAAUCCAUUAGGCAGUCCUUAACCCGUCACACCCCCCUAAGAAUGCGUGCGCACAUGCUCAAAGCGCACAUCGUGGUGGAAAUAAAACAGAUUAGGAAGUCAAAGAUCUGUCUUUUUCACUCCCCCCUUCUGUCCUUGUCUCCGUUGGUCUGGCUUCCCCAGCGACUGCUCCCGCUUCUAUUUACCCUCAGUAACAAAUGACAUUAAAAGGAGGAGACGUACAAGUACACUGGCCAGAAAGCAAUCAUUUAAUUAUUCUCAGGGACGUGUCAUUGGAAAAGUAAACUGUUUCAGCAUAGUUUGCGUGUGAGGCUCACUCAGAACCAGAAAGUACAAAUAAAAAAAAUUCAACAAGCAGUGUAUCACGCCAAUUUCUUGGGGGAGUCAAUUAAAAGAGAGGUUCAGUUUUCUUAAAACUAAAUUUGCAAUCAAACAUCUUCCAUCAGAGGUCCAUCAAACCAACUUCCACAAAUAUAUGAUGGAUAAAGAAAAAGAACAAUAGUAAUAUACAACAUAUUCAGCACAAUACUAAAAACAAUAUUCAUUGUAUUUUUGACCACCUAUGGCAGUAUUUAAAAAACAAACAUGAAACAUUUGUGUAAUUUGCACGUCAGUGCUUUGAAACCACGCCAUGCUUUGAGUUCAUGCACAUGUCGGUUUGUUUUGUCUGUCUUACAGAAUGUUCCAUCUGUAAGCUGGUUCCUUCUGAUACAGUAGUGUUGUCCAUCUGUUUUCAGACUACCGUACCAGUGAAUCAAACCCCAUAGUUUAACAAUUUGUGACUAUUUGUAGUUUUCUGUUGUGAUGAAUAUGUCCAUCAUUUUGUAAGCACACCUUCUCCUAAGGUAUAGUGCUUCCUAUAUACUUAUAGGCAUUGUCACUGAAUUUCAAAGCAUAACAACUUUUUAGUACAUUGAUUGGAUUUCACUUUAAUAUUUUAAAUAAAUGUGCUUUGUUUUCGCGGUUGGGUGCAGGAUACUUUUAUUACAGAAAAAUAUUAAACUGGUGAUGUACAAAUUAAAGCCAAAAAAUAAAAUAAAAAGAUCUUCAGGGACAUCUAGUGGAUAAUAUGCCAACAACUGCACUCAAAAACAGCAUAAUUGGUGUGCAUUCAGCCUCCAGGGUUCCCACCCAUUUUCAUUGCCAUUGAUUUCUAUAAUAAUAUUUUUAUGACCUUUCACAACCUACAAUUACACAAAAUGUGUACUUUACUCCACAUGUUGGUUCUAAUUAUUGAAUGAAAAUUAAAAAACCUUUGCAUUUUUUUUCUAUAAGGCUUGUUAAGCUACGUCAAUUCAAGUGGAAACUACAUCACCCUGCAGACUUUCACACAAGAAAACAUUAUCAGUGGAAGAGUACAAUAACAUAAUUAAUUUCUUUAGACUUACAUAUGACCAAAUCAAAUGUCAUGACUUCCAAAACUUCAAAUCAAUUUACUUCUUGACUUUUCCAGGCCUAAAAAAUGGGAUAUUAAAAUUACAUGCCUUUUCCAGGAUUUCCAUGACCGCAUGAACCCUGAGACUCAGAGAUCACUUAAAUAAAUAAUUGCCUCAUUUAUCUGAAAUAAAUAUCUGCUUCACAAACUAGUCUGUUCGCCUCUGGCCCCAUAAAAAACAUAUAGUCACAGGUCAUAACAUUCUCCCUAUUCAGUUGCAAAAAACAACAUGCAUAUGGAUUACUUUCAUAUGUAAUAUUUAUGUUUAUGAUUUGAAAUAAUAACAUUAAAUUCUCAGAUAAAAGUUAAUCUGCAGCAGAGGAGUACUGUAAUUUGACUUUUGUUAAUACAGAAACAUUUUAUUUUCUCAGUACUCCUCAUUCAAAUACAAAAAUAGGCUAUUUCAUAGGGCACACCCAUUAGAGGUAUACAUUUACAAUAAAGGAAAACAGACGAGUCAAAUUGUGAUACGGAGUAUGUACACUUAAUAGUAUAGAAAAUAGAAACAUUGAACUGAAAAGGUGCGACUUGUUGAAAAGAAGAAAAAAAACAGCAUAGACAUAGUUCUGAAAUGUUAAUGUCAUACAUAAACAAAUACGUUGAUAUUCUGUUGGCUCACUGCCCUGUUAGUACAGAAACCAAAAUUACAGGGUUAAAGUGUAAAUAUUAACUCUGUAAAUGGUAUCCAACAAAUGAUUAAAUACAUUUUUCAAUCGAUUUAAUCAAUUUCUCUAGUAAAGUUUCCCAUAUUUACAAAAUAUUUCUUUAUUUCAGUAACUGUAAAUUCAACAACUGCAAAUUGCAUGUUUUUUUCAAUAAAAUCUACUCAGCAAACAUUGGUGGAAAACGAAGGCUGUUUUCUACUUCUUCAACACAAACUGAAUCAACCCAAAGUACAACCCAGUCACACCGACUCAACACAAGUUCUAGAGUGAAACAAGUUUCUAUUCGCAAUCACAGAAAUGGACCUGCUAUAAAGGCAGACUUUGGGAGUACGUCAAAGAGGGGAGAUAAGCUAACCAGAUGCACUAGCAGUGCCUUGCAAACUCUGGCACCUCCAGCAGCGUGUGAAGGCUCAGGCUUCCUGGGCUUUCCAGGCCGAAGGCGGCAUGGCAGGCCUCUGUAAACCUGUGCUGCGUGGAGCCCAGGAGGUGGCCAUUCUGGGCGUUGAUGAACGCCAGACGCCCUUGGGUAAAGUCCAGCAGGGUUCCGAUAUGCGUCGGCACGUCCACAAGGAAAAUGUCGGUCUGCACACUGUUGUGGAGCAGCUCAAACCUGCAGCUG
Molecule: long non-coding RNA, 2975 nt
Organism: Clupea harengus (Atlantic herring)
Lineage: Eukaryota; Metazoa; Chordata; Actinopteri; Clupeiformes; Clupeidae
Source: Ensembl